This 2477-nucleotide long non-coding RNA is filed under the name Sarcophilus harrisii (Tasmanian devil). Its description in RNAcentral is "lncRNA (ENSSHAG00000030091.1)". The record is from RNAcentral. Lineage: Eukaryota; Metazoa; Chordata; Mammalia; Dasyuromorphia; Dasyuridae.
CUCUACCUCUAUUUUUCACAAAACCUUCGUAAGGAAAGAAGACUCUUUGUAAAACUUGAAGCAUUUUGGAAACGAGCUGUUCUAUCCUACUUAAGAACAGUUCCUGCUGAGGACGCUGACCCUGUUUUCCAAGAGGAGACGGGAAAGACUGGAUGACCUCUGAGGUCCCCUCAACCUUUGAGAUUCUGUGAUUUUGUGAAACUGAGCUUGAGCCUCCCCUAGUAACACCAAGACCUUUAAACUCAGCAUCUUUUAUCUGCCUCCCCUUUGCUGUUAUUUAUAACUGCUUAAAGGGCCCCUCGGAGCCCCAGGGAAGAGGCAGGAUCACGGCUUGACGGGGCUAUGAAUCUUGCGUUCCUUCCUGAUGUCCUCCUGCAUCUCCGGGACUACCCCGGAAAGAGUCCCCGCUUCCCCUGGGAGCAGAAACACCAAGCCAAGGUUUUCUUGGGCAGCUUUCCCCAGCUUCAUCUGACAUUGAAUUUUUCACCUUCCUCUUGGGGGUCUGCAGAAGGUGUUUGCAGAAUUGAAUGGAAUAGUCUCUGGAAGGAGAUGUUGCCUGAUGAGACUGACUGUCUCAGAUGAGAAGAUGACUGAUGGAUGCCCAGACGGGCAGGGAAUCAAGCAGUGCCAGUGGGCUCAGCUGCCAGUUGCUCAAAUGGCUGACUUCUUAUUGCAACACCCCCUCUGCAAUUUUAGAGGAAUAUUGACAUUGUCACUAUUGCCAGUCCUGCAAUUUAUUAUUUACAUCCUCAUUCCAUCCAAAGUUUCCUGAUUGCUCUAGUAAUAAUGAAAAAAUUAGCUCUUCAAAGGUUUCCUCACAGCAAACCUAUGAAAAAGUAGGACAAGUAUUGUGAUCCCCAUUUUACACACAAGGAAACUGAGGUUCUGAGAGGAAAGUGACUUGUCAAGGAAAAUCCAGUUGGGAGGAGUCAGUGCUUCAAUUUCAGAUCCAGGUUUCUUACUUCAAGACCAGCGUGUGUCCCCAAAACUAUCCAGAUCCUCUGCCAUAUCCAGCAUUUCUUUUUAUAAUUGAAGGCUAUUUGGUCAUUCUUCCAUCAUAGCAGUGAAGUUCAUGGGGACAUUGGAUUAACCUCUACUCUGUCUUAAGAGGCUUGCAAGAUUUUGAACACUGGCCAGACAUGGUAGAUCUGAUGCUGCUGGUUCAAUUCCGUAGGUCUGGCUGCUAUUCUCUGUAUCCAUAUUUAAGGAAGAAAGUCUUUUAGCUUUGGUUCCCAAAUUCCAACUGGGACAUUCAGCUAAUCAACUUUAUCUGGCUGCCAAAAUUAAAUUAAAUUCAACACACUUUUAUUUUUUUUAAAGUGGUUUUAUUGUUGCCUUUGAUUUUUGCACUAAUUAUUUAUUUCCCUUUAACUCUUUUCUCUCCUUUCCCACCCCCCUUCCUCACAUAUAUUGAGCCUUUCUUGGUAACAAAACAAAACAUUUAAACAAAGCCAAAUGACAAAAUGACCUCAUCUGACCACAAAUACCACAUUUCUCAUUACUAGCCCCUACCUCUCUACUGACAGGAGGAAGGUAUGUUUCCUUAUUAGUUUUCCAGGGAAAAGAUCGUUCAUUACAGUUCAUCAAAGUUUAUUUACUUUUCAUUUAUCAUCUACAUUUUUGUAGGCAUCAAAUAUUGUUAUCUCGGUUUAACUUUCUUUACAUUACUUCACAAAAAUCUUCCCAUGUUUCUUUGAAUUCCUUUAUAUUCAUUACUUCUUAACAUGCAAUAAUAUUAUGCUUUUAUGCUACCGUUUGUUCAGUCUUUCUCCAACCAAUGGCACUUAUUUUUUUUCCAGUUUUGUUUUUGUUGGGUGAUUUCCCCCCCCUCCCCCAUUCCAAAAAAGUACAGAUAGGAAUAGGUUGUAAUACGUAAGACCUUUCUUUUCCUUUUCCUCUCAUUUUAAACUUUUAUAUUUUAUUGGCACUUUAAACAUUGUUUUCUUUUCCAAAUAUAUUCCUCUCCCUCCCCUAUCCAGAAAGCUCAUUCCUUGUAAAAAGAAAGAGAAAGAACAAAGUAAAAGAGAGAAGAGGGAGAGAUUAAUCACACACAAUUUUAUAGAUUAAUCAUGUAUACAAUGUUCCACAAGCAAAAUUCUGCAUAUACCUAUCCCAAAUUCCCCAUGACUGAAAGGAGCUACAUUUUCUCUUCUCUUGAAACUUUAUUUAUUUUAAGAAAAGCAUUCCCAUCAACAGUCCACAGUGUUCAAGGCACUAAACUCCAGUGAAGAUACAAGUCAUUGAGUGUAUCACUUGGCUUUAACUGUUUUUCUUUGUUAUAAAGAAAGAUUCAAUAUAUUUGUCUGGUAUAUAGUAAUUGAUUAAUAAACAGUUGUCAUUUGUCUGAAUAAGAAAAAUAGGGUAACCUUUCCAAAGACCUCUCUCAGCAUUUGGUCUGCAUCUAUUUAAUAGCUUCGGCAUGUAAUAUUGUGUAUUAUAAUUUUCUGUGUUUUUGUCUUUUUUUUUUUCCUUUUCCU